Molecule: ribosomal RNA, 253 nt
Filed under: uncultured bacterium
Lineage: Bacteria
Description: partial 16S ribosomal RNA
Rfam family: Bacterial small subunit ribosomal RNA
Source: RNAcentral
UACGUAGGGUGCGAGCGUUGUCCGGAAUUACUGGGCGUAAAGAGCUCGUAGGUGGUUUGUCGCGUUGUUCGUGAAAACUCACAGCUCAACUGUGGGCGUGCGGGCGAUACGGGCAGACUGGAGUACUGCAGGGGAGACUGGAAUUCCUGGUGUAGCGGUGAAAUGCGCAGAUAUCGGGAGGAACACCGGUGGCGAAGGCGGCGAUCUGGGUCGAUACUGACGCUGAGGUGCGAAAGCGUGGGGAGCAAACAGG